Long non-coding RNA from Dermochelys coriacea (leatherback sea turtle), 3471 nucleotides. RefSeq lists it as uncharacterized. NCBI's taxonomy places the organism in Eukaryota, Metazoa, Chordata, Testudines, Dermochelyidae. The transcript has 2 exons. The record is from RefSeq and is a predicted model, not a curated record.
UGUUGACUUCUUUGACCACCCACCUCAACCAAAACUGUCCAUCCUCAAGCGGGAGAAGAUGAACCUGAAUCAUCUUGCUAUUUAUCAGAGUUCUUGACAAUUUCAGUAGAUUCAUCAGCAGCUGAGAGAUCAACAAGAUUCUAAACAUUUUAGAUGUAUUGAGCUAGGUUUGCCACUUUGCCAUAGCAUGAAUAUCUUAGGGAGAAACCAGCUUGGUCAUCAGUCAGCUACCCUUCCACUAUUGGUGCUAUUCUACCCAUUAUAGUUCUCUCAUAUGGCUUGUAGGUUGAGCAAUGUAUGGAUGUUGGGUGUGCUCAGCUCUUUGCAGAGUUAAGGUUUUAUGUGAUUUAAGUAGUGCAGCCACUUGUCUGCUCCACAGCCUGAGUAUCUGCAUUGUCUCCAUGCAAGAAUUAAAGAAGACAAGCAGCCACUUCUAUAUUUCUUUGCCAAAGUAAUAAUAAUUAGACACACCAAUCAAGUCCAGUUGCCUUUCCACAUUUCAGUUUCAUGUAUGUGUUUUCUUACACAGGAGAACAAGUAUAUGAACUGAAACCUUAUUGCUUAAGGGUUUGACCCUUUUCUUGGUAACAUUUUAGUGCUGUUUCUAGCAGUGGAAACAUCACAUUCAUAAUUCUGGCUCUGUUCCAAAAUGUGAGUUCACAAAAUGAAACCCCUGAAGACUGAUGCUGGUUCUUUUGAGCAUGGACCUCUAUAACUAACGUAAUAAUAUAUAUUUAGACAAAUCUAGAAAAAUUGCUCUAGGAACUAAUGGAAAUUAUUUUUUCAGCCAGUAGAAAAGUUCUGGUCUUAAAAUAGUAUGCAGAUUUUGUCAUUUUGUUCUUCAGUGCCUUUGAGCACUAAAAAACUUUAUUCAUAGUGAAGAUCCUUCAGUCACCAUUUUCUUUUGCUGUCUAGUAUAUUUUAAAUGUUGCACACAAGUAAAAGUAGAAGCCGAAUGUGCAUACACAAACUUCCGCUUCAAAGAUCAGUGCAGUGGGGUGCUAGAGCAAAACCGAUUUUGCAGAGAAAGUCUGCAGUGGCUUUCCUGGGACAGAAGAGAGAGAAGGACCACACAUCUAGCAAGAAAUAAAAGCUGGAGAAUAUAUUCAGUGGAAUGAGGUUUGACGAGUCUGAAGUGCAGUAGGGCUGUGGCAGAGUAGCCUAGGAACUUGCUGAGGUGUGGACAGAACUAGUCAGUAGUGUGGGUUUCCUCAUAAUUGAACUCUACAUCUAGCAGCCACCUUUGCUCUUUAUAUUCAUGCUGUCAGCAUAGGUGUUGGAAGGGUUAAAAGUCCAAAGUUUAACUUAGUGAAUUACUAACUUUUACUUGCAAGAACAUAAUGUGAAGUGGGCAAAACCAUUCCAGUUACUUAGUGUGUCUUCCAAUUGCCUUGCAUUUUAGAAUAGUAUGCUGCUUAAUCGUUCCUUCAUUUAAGAUUUGUAAUAAGUUGUAUUAUAAUAUAUUUAAGUGUGUCCAUUUAAAAUUAUAUUUUCUAAAUAUAAUUGUUAGCUUAACAUUUGGGCAAAGGAGGAAAAUCCUUAACCCAGUGGUUCUCAAACUUUUGUACUAGUGACCCCUUUCACACAGCUAGCCUCUGAGCGCAACCCCCCUUAUAAAUUAAAAACACUUUUAAAAAAUACUUAACACUAGUAUAAAUGCUGGAGGUGAAGUGGGGUUUGGGGUGGAGGCUGACAGCACACCGAACCUCCCUUCCCCCUGUAAUAACCUCACGACCCCCAGUUGAGAACCACUAGCUUUUAGCCAUUUAUAGCAUUUACUGUAAUGCUUCAGAAUGAUUGCUUAAUUAAUCGGAAAGCCUAGUGAUAAGUAUUGCAUAAUACAGAAUUGGUUCUGAAAUAAGGAAAUAAUCACUCUGUAUUGCUUAUUGUGUCCCUGUCCACACACAGGGAAGAAUUCCAAAGUAAAUGAUCAAACUGCCUCUUUGUGCCAGCAGUUGUGUGGAAAGACAAAAGUCCUCUUCUACGUAAAGAUUUUUCUCAUGUAGUUGCUGUGUUAAAUCUGACAAGAAGAGUGGCCCUGGGAAAAAGCUAGGAGCAAUAUAGAACUGUUUCUGUUUUUUACCUCCAAAUACUUAAGACUGCUCUUUGUCUGUUUCAUUGGCCUUGGUUACCAUAAUCCAAAGCAAUGUCAUUAAAAUGUAGCUACGUGAGGCCAAAUUCUCUUCUGUUCUACUGGUCUACAGCAGAUUUUUGGUCUUCCUUGUUCAUUCAGAAGUUAGUGGCUGCAGUCAGUAUUAAGGAUGAAACUACAGACUGUUUCUAAAAGAUGAUAAUUUGAUAAUGACUUAUAAGGAAACUGAAGUUCCACUUGUCGACUGUUAACUUUGACCUCCUAGACUUGGUGCAUUGUGUCAUGUGUGAGUGAGUGAAUCUUGCCCACUUUCCUUUUAAGUCUUUAACGUCUUCAGAUGUUUGGUCACUCCCUUAUUAGUAAUGAGAAAACCUUUGUCAUUGGUUUUUGGUGGCCUAUAUAUGAUGGUAAUCUCAUCUGCUUUCCCAGUGUCUUUGAAAAUUGAAUUCAAUGGAAUCCUGUUGCCAAUCUUGACAGAGACCAAGGAUCAAUAGUGCACUUGAAGACCUGCUGAUGUCUCCUGGAAAUGUAAACUCUAAAUAGCAACAUUUCUACUAAUGCAUCCUAUUUUCCAUUUUAUUACUAUUAAGGACAUUUUUAUGAGAACAAAUUAUUGUAGGCUAAGUGUUCAUCUGUGUGUCCAUCGCCUGAAGUCAUAAUCAGGGAUCCUAUUUUUUUGUGAUUUAACCCCCUCCCCUGAAUUUUCUCUUAUAAAGCAUAAAAUCCAUGUUUUCCACACUUAAAAUGAACGUUGAAUUUUAGUUUCCUUAGGUCCACAAUAUAUAUACUGAUAUCAGUUGAACACAAUGUUUUAUUGAUAUAUUUACAAUUUUAAGGAAGUUCAAAGCCUGCCAGUGCCAUCAGUCAUUAUAAUAAAAUUAUAGAAUGAUCCAGACUCAGUACAUUGUUUGUUUUUUUUGCUGUUAUCGAUGGCCAUGCUGUUUUAGCCUCCUUGUUUUCGUUAGUUUUCAUUCAGUUUAGUGCUUUCCAUGUGUUCUACAGUUGUCUGCCUUCAAACAUAGUCUACAGAACAGCAUAUUACCAUCAACAUGAAAUUUGACCGCACCAAACUCAGUGACAUGGUCUUUAGGAGUGAUUUUAAAAAAUACUAUUCCUUUUAUCUUUUUUACAGUGCAAAUGUUUGUAAUAAAAAAUAAAAUAAAGUGAGCACUGUACACAUUGUAUUCUGUAUUGUAAUUGAAAUCAAUAUAUUUGAAAACUUAGAAAAACAUCAAAAUAUUUGUCUAACUUAAAUGAUUCUAUUGUUUAACAGUGCAAUUAAUUGUGACUGUUUUUAAUCUAGUUAAUUUGUUUUGGGUUGCUUGCAUGCAUUAACUGAGAUUAUUGGCAGCCCUAAUGUUUUUAUUUUUUCACAAAAA